This 72-nucleotide transfer RNA is filed under the name Camelus bactrianus (Bactrian camel). It matches the Rfam family "tRNA". Rfam says of the family: Transfer RNA (tRNA) molecules are approximately 80 nucleotides in length. RNAcentral also lists the same sequence under 2 other names. The record is from Rfam by way of RNAcentral. Lineage: Eukaryota; Metazoa; Chordata; Mammalia; Artiodactyla; Camelidae.
GAGGGUAUAGCUCAGUAGUAGAGUGCAUGCUUAGCAUGCACGAGGUCCUGGGUUCAAUCCCCAGUACCACCA